UAUACCCUCGCUUCCCUCCUGUUUGUAUGAACAAGGGUCGGCCCAGCGCUUGCUGCCGGGCUUGGAAGCGGAUCUGGCUUUCCCACUGCUUCUGUGGGUUUGCCGAAAAGCAGAGGCUAGAGCGAGGACCUGUCAUGGGCUCAACUGGAUAGGUAGAAGCGGUGCUGCAAAGCGCUGCCAAUACACGAAAGUUGGUGCCUUGGACCUCGCUGGCGGCCAGCAGGAAACGAGCGGUCGUGUUGUUGGCACCCACGGUGCCAAUGGCCGCCGCCGUCUACC
RNAcentral lists this unclassified non-coding RNA (279 nucleotides) under Bracteacoccus aggregatus. Its description in RNAcentral is "partial internal transcribed spacer 2". The record is from RNAcentral. Lineage: Eukaryota; Viridiplantae; Chlorophyta; Chlorophyceae; Sphaeropleales; Bracteacoccaceae.